CCCCUUUUCUUCCUAACUUCCUACGGCAAUUGAUAGAACCCCAAUUUCUUCCCAAAAGUCUUCUCCUUCGGGAAGAAGAAAUCAGCAGCUGUCCCCCUCUAUCCCCCAUCUAUUUAUAUCUUCAAACACCGCUCAAAACGGGGGAUCGAUUCUCUUCUCUAGUACAAGUACACAACUACAAAUAAAUCAAUGAUUUCUCAACUAAGAACUUCAGAGAAACAGCCAUGGGAUAGCUCCAAGUUCAGCUCCAACAGCCUUCAGCCAAAGCUCCGAGAAUCCUUCGGUUUCCUCUUCCUUGUAUUCGAUUUUCUUCAAAGAGGGGAAACUCGUCGCCCAUGUCAAGGUUGAGGUUCUCGAAGCGGUUAUGGAAACUGGUGGAGCGGAGUUCGAGGAAUCACGAGCUUUUAUAUCAACCGACUAUUUUCAAAGAUUUUAUUAGUCACUUUCUUUUUAAGUGUUUUAACUUGAGAAGUUUAUAGUUGUAAUUAUGAUGUACUCUAUUUAGGAAUCUAGUCUAUUAAACCGGGGUGUAUGUAAAAUAAAGUUGUUUUGUGUUCCGCUGUAUUACAAGUAUUGCUUUGAAACCCCGUCUAUGUUGAAGUAGCACUCUUUAUGAAAAUUAUAUCUUUCAAA
This is a non-coding RNA of Erythranthe guttata (spotted monkey flower), 633 nucleotides long. The record is from RefSeq and is a predicted model, not a curated record. NCBI's taxonomy places the organism in Eukaryota, Viridiplantae, Streptophyta, Magnoliopsida, Lamiales, Phrymaceae.